Molecule: unclassified non-coding RNA, 502 nt
Filed under: uncultured Diversispora
Lineage: Eukaryota; Fungi; Glomeromycota; Glomeromycetes; Diversisporales; Diversisporaceae
Description: SSU rRNA
Rfam family: Eukaryotic small subunit ribosomal RNA
Source: RNAcentral
CCAAUAGCGUAUAUUAAAGUUGUUGCAGUUAAAAAGCUCGUAGUUGAACUUCGGGGUUUACCCAUUGGUCAGGCUUAAUUGUCUGUACUGGUGAGAUAAAUCUCUACCUUCUGAGGAACUUUCAUGUCAUUAAUUUGGUGUGAUUGGAAAUCAGGACUGUUACUUUGAAAAAAUUAGAGUGUUUAAAGCAGGCUAACGUCUGAAUACAUUAGCAUGGAAUAAUGAAAUAGGACGGACUGAUUCUUUUUCGUUGGUUUCUAGGAUCACCGUAAUGAUUAAUAGGGAUAGUUGGAGGCAUUAGUAUUCAAUUGUCAGAGGUGAAAUUCUUGGAUUUAUUGAAGACUAACUACUGCGAAAGCAUUUGCCAAGGAUGUUUUCAUUAAUCAAGAACGAAAGUUAGGGGAUCGAAGACGAUCAGAUACCGUCGUAGUCUUAACCAUAAACUAUGCCGACUAGGGAUCGGACGAAGUUAAUUUUAUAAUGACGCGUUCGGCACCUUACG